ACAAAUCAUUACCACUGCCUGCGAAGUUUCUUGUGAGAAGGGAAUUCCUGAGAGAUUCCAAGAAAACGAAAAACAAAGAGAGAAUCUAGACUGUCAAAUGCAAGGACAUUUUAAAAGAUAAAAUCAAGAUCAAUGGAGAAAGCAAAGGAGGUGAAUGAAAAUUCAAGAGGAACAAUAGUUUCUUUAAAUCCAAAGUUCUUGGAUUUAUCCACAUCUUAAAUUUCUUGUUUUUUUUCUAGUCACCCUGCUCUUCUGGCCAGUGCCCCACUGGGGCUCUUUGCCAUUGACCAUGUGUUAAGAUGGAAUUUGAAAUGGGAUCUCUCUACAAUAACAACGUCUCAACCUGAAACUUGGAGCUGGGCCUCUUUACACUUAUCCCACCUGCAGCCCCUUUGAGCAGAGUUGCCUCUUUCUGACCUCAUCUACUCUUACUAACAUUCUUCCCUGGUUCUUUCAUCUACGAUCUAUUUCCUGGACUACAUGGGACUACUUGAAAAAACUCACCGACCCCUGCACUAGGUGAGACGACAACUUACAGACAACAGCUUUAUCUGUUUAAAGCUGAAUUUAACUCCUACGUCUUACUGUGUUUUAUCAGUGAGGAGACAGACCCACAGAGGGUAAGUAUCUCAAUGAAAAUCAUGUGAUGACCAAGAGACAAAGUCAAUAUUAAAUGCUAGCCUUCUAACCA
RNAcentral lists this long non-coding RNA (691 nucleotides) under Bos indicus x Bos taurus (hybrid cattle). Its description in RNAcentral is "lncRNA (ENSBIXG00000024795.1)". Lineage: Eukaryota; Metazoa; Chordata; Mammalia; Artiodactyla; Bovidae. The record is from RNAcentral.